Molecule: long non-coding RNA, 315 nt
Organism: Trachemys scripta elegans
Lineage: Eukaryota; Metazoa; Chordata; Testudines; Emydidae
Exons: 3
Source: RefSeq, a predicted model, not a curated record
GACAAGAAAAGCGGGACUGAGAGAUGAAAGUGAAUGAUAUGAAGGGAGAAGUAUCUGUGCUGCGGCUGGGACUGGAGUAGCAGGACAAAACUGAGAUGCCUGGACCAAAAUGUGAUGGGGAAGAAUGCACACCAACCGCUCCUUAGCAUGGUUCAAGGACACCAAAGACAGAGAAAAAGACAAUCAGCCAAUCAACAGAAACUAUCCCUUACCAAAAUACAAAUACAGGUGUGCAGUCUCUUCAGAAGGGUAAUUCAUGUAGAAAGAAUGUGGUUUCGUACUAUAUUCCUGAAAGAGAUUGAAGAGUUCAAAGUA